CCUCUUGUUCGGGAUAACUGCUGGAAACGGCAGCUAAUACCGGAUAAGCUCCACCAAUUGUAUGGUGGAGGAAAGGAGGCCUCUUCAUGAAAGCUUCCGCGAGGGGAUGAGUCCGCGUCCCAUUAGCUAGUUGGUGAGGUAACGGCCCACCAAGGCAACGAUGGGUAGCCGGUCUAAGAGGAUGACCGGCCACACUGGAACUGAAACACGGUCCAGACUCCUACGGGAGGCAGCAGUGGGGAAUAUUGCGCAAUGGACGAAAGUCUGACGCAGCGACGCCGCGUGAGGGAUGAAGGUUUUCGGAUCGUAAACCUCUGUCAGGAGGGAAGAAAGCGCAUGGCGCCAAUCAGCCAUGCGUUGACGGUACCUCCAAAGGAAGCGCCGGCUAACUCCGUGCCAGCAGCCGCGGUAAUACGGAGGGCGCGAGCGUUAAUCGGAAUUACUGGGCGUAAAGCGCGCGUAGGCUGUUGUGUAAGUUGGGGGUGAAAUCCCACGGCUCAACCGUGGAACAGCCCUUGAUACUGCGCGACUUGAAUCCGGGAGAGGGUGGCGGAAUUCCAGGUGUAGGAGUGAAAUCCGUAGAUAUCUGGAGGAACAUCAGUGGCGAAGGCGGCCACCUGGACCGGUAUUGACGCUGAGGCGCGAAAGCGUGGGGAGCAAACAGGAUUAGAUACCCUGGUAGUCCACGCUGUAAACGAUGGAUGCUGGAUGUCGGGG
This 717-nucleotide ribosomal RNA is filed under the name uncultured bacterium. RNAcentral's name for it is "bacterial SSU rRNA". It matches the Rfam family "Bacterial small subunit ribosomal RNA", at positions 130 to 828 of the family's 1533-position model. The record is from RNAcentral.